UACGUAGGGAGCAAGCGUUGUUCGGAUUUACUGGGCGUAAAGGGCGCGUAGGCGGCAAAUUAAGUCAGCUGUGAAAUCUCCGAGCUUAACUCGGAACUGUCAGCUGAUACUGAUCUGCUAGAGUGCGGAAGGGGCAAUCGGAAUUCUUGGUGUAGCGGUGAAAUGUGUAGAGAUCGGGAGGAACACCGGUGGCGAAGGCGGUCUUCUGGACGGUGACUGACGCUGAGGCGCGAAAGCCAGGGGAGCGAACGGG
RNAcentral lists this ribosomal RNA (253 nucleotides) under uncultured bacterium. RNAcentral's name for it is "partial 16S ribosomal RNA". It matches the Rfam family "Bacterial small subunit ribosomal RNA", at positions 524 to 776 of the family's 1533-position model. The record is from RNAcentral.